Molecule: transfer RNA, 68 nt
Filed under: Marmota monax (woodchuck)
Lineage: Eukaryota; Metazoa; Chordata; Mammalia; Rodentia; Sciuridae
Description: tRNA.Ala
Rfam family: tRNA (bases 5-65)
About the family: Transfer RNA (tRNA) molecules are approximately 80 nucleotides in length. Their secondary structure includes four short double-helical elements and three loops (D, anti-codon, and T loops).
Source: RNAcentral
GGAUUGUGGCUCAGUGGCAGAGCGCUUGCCUAGCACAUGUGAGGCACUGGGUUCAAUUCCCAGCACCA